RNAcentral lists this ribosomal RNA (423 nucleotides) under uncultured bacterium. Its description in RNAcentral is "partial 16S ribosomal RNA". It matches the Rfam family "Bacterial small subunit ribosomal RNA", at positions 359 to 774 of the family's 1533-position model. The record is from RNAcentral.
GAAUUUUGGACAAUGGGCGAAAGCCUGAACCAGCAAUGCCGCGUGGAGGAGGAAGGCCUUCGGGUUGUAAACUGCUUUUGUACGGAACGAAAAGCUGUGGGUUAAUACCCUGGAGUCAUGACGGUAACGUAAGAAGAAGCACCGGCUAACUCAGUGCCAGCAGCCGCGGUAAUAAGUAGGGUGCAAGCGUUAAUCGGAAUUAGUGGGCGUAAAGCGUGCGCAGGCGGUUUUGUAAGACAGAGGUGAAAUCCCCGGGCGCAACCUGGGAACUGCCUUUGUGACUGCAAUGCUAGAGUACGGCAGAGGGGGGUGGAAUUCCGCGUGUAGCAGUGAAAUGCGUAGAUAUGCGGAGGAACACCGAUGGCGAAGGCAACCCCCUGGGCCUGUACUGACGCUCAUGCACGAAAGCGUGGGGAGCAAACA